Lycium ferocissimum is the source of this 2991-nucleotide long non-coding RNA. RefSeq lists it as uncharacterized. Lineage: Eukaryota; Viridiplantae; Streptophyta; Magnoliopsida; Solanales; Solanaceae. The record is from RefSeq and is a predicted model, not a curated record. The transcript has 3 exons.
ACUUUUAUUUUAAAAAUGAAAAAAAAAAUAUCAAAAUAUAUUUUGUCCUUUUCUGUUUUAUUUAGAAAAUGCUCUAGUGCUUUCUUUCACCUCCUUUCUUUAUUUUUUCCUUUGUCUUUUCCUUUUUCUUUUUGUCUCUUCACUUUUCUUUUUAAAAAUGAAAAAAAUAUCAAAAUAUAUUUUGUCCUUUUCUGUAGUAGAGAAAGCGAGAUCUUGGCUCUUCAAAAGAUUUUUCCAGCGCGUAAGUAAUUGACGUAACAACACAACAACAUACCCAGUGUAUUCCCACAAAUGUUAUGUUUUGUGGUAAAUUUUGAGAAGUGUUUCCAUUUUUAUGCUUACUAGGCAGUAAAUACAACAGUCUUGUUCUUUUUCCUUUUAUUUGUCUGAUUUGGUAGUUUAUCCGUGUAAUUCAGUUCACUUUAUGAUAAAAGCGAGAGUUUCAAUCAUCAUGUGCUCAAAAGGCCAGUUGUUUCAUCCUUUUCUAUUUUUAGCUAGUUUGUUAUGUGCAUUAUACGUGCAACUAUUUCUAAGCAUUGCGAUCAUGCGAGAAUUUUGCUCUAAUAGCUUGACCAGUCACUCAUAGAAAGUGUGUGUUCUUCUACUUUGUUGUGUUUAGGGAAUGGGACUUGUAGUGUUCUGAAAGUUGGGAGAAAUGGGAUGGAAAGUGGUGAAGUUAUGGAGAAUGUUUUAGCUGCUAUUGAUGGUGUUGUUGAAUUUGUUCCGAAAAAAUUGAGUGGUGUUAGAGCUUUUCAUUUGAAGUUUUUGGAUUCAUUAGCAUUGCCUAUUUAUGAAGCUUUGCCUGAUCAAAGAGAAAAUACUGAGAAGAAAAAGAAGUAGAGAAAGUGAAGAUUUUUCCAGCUAGAAUUGACGCAUAGGCUCGAUCACUAUCAAAUGUUACUUUUUGUGGUAAAUCUUGAUGAAGUGUUUCCAUUUUUAUGCUUACUUGGCAGUGAAUACCACAACAAUGUGUUCUUUUUCUUUUUGCUGUCCUUUUAUUGUCUGUUUCGGUGUUGUUUCAAUUGGGAAAUUCUAAUGUCACAUCUCUAGCUUCUCAGUGUAGUCGGUGUUGUUUCAAUUGGGAAAUUCUAGUGUUUUGAAAGUUGGGAGAAAUGAGAUGGAGAGUAGUGAAGUUGUUGAGAAUGUUUUAGCUGCCAUUGGUUGAAUUGUUGAGUUUGUUCCGAAAAAAUUGGGUGGUGUUAGAGCUUUUCAUUUGAAUUUUUGGAUUCAUUGGCGUUGCCUAUUUAUGAAGCUUUGCCUGAUCAAAGAGAAAAUACUGAGAAGAAAAAGAAUUAGAGAAAGUGAAGAUUUUUCCAGCUAGAAGUUAAGUAGUGAAGAUUUUUCCAGCUAGAAGUUAAGUAAUUGACGCACAGGCUCGAUUACAAUCAAAUGUUAUGGUUUGUGUUAAAUUUGGAUGAAUGUUUCCAUUUUUUUUCUUGGUAGGCAGUGAAUACAACAAUGUGUUUUUUUAUUGUCUGAUUUGAUCUAGUGUUGUUUCAAGUGGGAACUUCUAAUGUUAUAAUUCUUGGUAGCUUAUAAAUGUAGUCGGUUCAAUUUAUGAUAACUGUGAGAGUUUCAAUCAUCAUGUGCUAAAAAAGCCAGUUUUCAUCCUUUUCUAUUUUAGCUAGUUCUUAUGUGUACUAUACAUGCAACUAUAAUAAUAUAGAAAGAGUGUGUUCGUCAACUUUCUUGUGUUUAGGGGGUGGGACUUGUAGUGUUUUGAAGAUUGGGAGAAAUGGGAUGGAGAGUGGUGAAGUUAUGGAGAAUGUUUUAGCUGCCAUUGCAAGAAUUGUUGAGUUUGUUCCGAAAAAAUUGGGUGGUGUUCGAGCUUUUCAUUUGAAGUUUAGUGAUUCAUUGGCAUUACCUAUUUGCGAGGCUUUGCCUGAUCAAAAAGAAAAUACCUAGAAUCAAAAGAAGUAGAGAAAGCGAGAUCUUGGCUCUUCAAAAGACUGCGUAAGUAAUUGACGCAUAAGGCUCACAAUCAAAUGUUAUUUUUGUGAUAAAUUUGGAUGAAGUGUUUCAAUUAUAUGCUUACUAGGCAGUGAAUACAAUAAUGUGCUCUUGUUGCUGUCCUUUUAUUGUUUAAUUGGAUCUAGUGUUGUUUCAAGUGGGAAACUACUAAUGUUAUGUUUCUUGGUAGCUUAUCAGUGUAGUCGGUUCAAUUUACGAUAAAAGUGAGAGUUACAAUCAUCAUGCGCUUCAAAGGCCAGUGUUUCAUCCUUCUCUAUUUUAGCCAGUUGUUGCGUGUAUUAUACGUGCAGCUAUUUCUAAGCGUUGCAAUCAUGCGAGAAUUUUGCUCUAAUAUCUUGAGCAGUGAUAAACGUUAGCUGAUUCCUGAUCACUCAUAUUUUCAGGUUUCAAAAGUAAAAGCAUUGAUGUUUUAUGACAUCUUAUAUGUUGAUUGUGUAUGUGCCUGUUUUAUUACAGUAUAUGCUAAGCAACACCAGCAAGAGUAUUAUUCUCUUUCAUUAUCUGUGUACCAAGCUUUCUGGUAGUACUUGUGGUGAUACCCACUAAUAACAUCAUGUCAAACGCCCAAGUUAUUAUCGAAAAAAAAAAAAUAGUUACAACAUCCAAGGUUCGUAACAGAGCUUUUAUGCAGAAAUGUUAUCUCUUAGAUUGAAGAAAUAAGGCCUCUCUCUUUGAGGAAUGCGAUGCAAUCAUCAAACAUCUCUUCAAUGGACUUGACUUUCCUCCUAAGCCCUCCAGCUUCGAAGUGUUGAAUUCAUAGGGAGGUCGAUCCAGUUCCUUAAACCUGAAAUGGCAGUGUUGGCAAAUGUGAAUCUUCAUCAAAACGGGGCAGAGCUACAUGUUAUGAAGGGAAAAGGAAAAGGGAUGUUAUGGAACUGAUGGGUUUGAACCAUCUACCUCAAAGUAGAAGGCAAGGAGCUCACCAAAUUAGCCACCCUCAACGCCAUGAAGGGAAUUCAAUUGAAUCCCCUUAGUCAGAAAAUUAUGUUGUGUAAAAGGAUAGAAAGAACCAGAGUUCUU